GACGUAGGGGGCGAGCGUUGUCCGGAACUACUGGGCGUAAAGAGCACGUAGGCGGGGACUUAAGUCAGGUGUGAAAGACCGUGGCUCAACCACGGGGUUGCAUUUGAAACUGGGUUUCUUGAGGGCAGGAGAGGAAAGCAGAAUUCCUGGUGUAGCGGUGAAAUGCGUAGAAAUCAGGAGGAAUACCAGUGGCGAAGGCGGCUUUCUGGACUGUAACUGACACUGAGGCACGAAGGCGUGGGGAUCAAACAGGAUUAGAUACCCGCGUAGUCCCUGAG
Molecule: ribosomal RNA, 278 nt
Filed under: uncultured prokaryote
Description: partial 16S ribosomal RNA
Rfam family: Bacterial small subunit ribosomal RNA
Source: RNAcentral